GGAAAUACUUUGUAUGAUAUCAUAAUGAUGGAUACAUUCAUUCUACAUUUAUCCAAAUUCAUAGCAUGAACAAGACCAAGAGUGAACCCUAAGAGUCUGUGUUGAAUAAAGUUGCUGGUGCUUAUGCAAGAUUGUCCCUUAUCCCCACACUGGAUGGAUCCACAGCCAGAACCUAGCUCUGCCUCCACAUUGAUAUGUCAGCUUUCUUAUCUCCAGCUGGCUUUCAGAAUCUGAAGCUAGAGUCAUAAUUGCCCCACUCUGGGCUCACAUCUUUGAGCCUCACCUUCCAAAAGGGAAAGAAGCUUUCGCUCCACUCCUCCACUCCUGAUGAAAAUAAAUCCUGAAUGUAUGUAUUUGUCAAAAAGA
Molecule: long non-coding RNA, 366 nt
Organism: Zalophus californianus (California sea lion)
Lineage: Eukaryota; Metazoa; Chordata; Mammalia; Carnivora; Otariidae
Exons: 3
Source: RefSeq, a predicted model, not a curated record